Molecule: ribosomal RNA, 378 nt
Filed under: uncultured eukaryote
Lineage: Eukaryota
Description: partial 18S ribosomal RNA
Rfam family: Eukaryotic small subunit ribosomal RNA
Source: RNAcentral
CAAUAGCGUAUAUUAAAGUUGUUGCGGUUAAAAAGCUCGUAGUUGGAUUUCUGCUGAGAACGACCGGUCCGCCCUCUGGGUGUGUAUCUGGCUCUUUCUUGGCAUCUUCUUGGUGAACGUUGCUGCACUUGACUGUGUGGAGCGCUACCCAGGACUUUUACUUUGAGGAAAUUAGAGUGUUUCAAGCAGGCAUACGCCUUGAAUACAUUAGCAUGGAAUAAUAAGAUAGGACCGUUGUCUAUUUUGUUGGUUUACAGAUGUCGGUAAUGAUUAAUAGGGAUAGUUGGGGGUAUUCGUAUUCAGUUGUCAGAGGUGAAAUUCUUGGAUUUUCGGAAGACGCACGACUGCGAAAGCAUUUACCAAGGAUGUUUUCAUUAA